AGGCGUUUGCCUCGCUUGAAGAUGAGCCUGCGUCCCAUUAGCUAGUUGGUGAGGUAAAUGCUUACCAAGGCGAUGAUGGGUAUCCGGCCUGAGAGGGUGAACGGACACAUUGGGACUGAGAUACGGCCCAAACUCCUACGGGAGGCAGCAGCUGAGAAUCUUCCGCAAUGGACGAAAGUCUGACGGAGCAAUACCGCGUGAAUGAUGAAGGCUGAAAGGUUGUAAAAUUCUUUUGCAGACAAAGAAUAAGCACAGUAGUAAAUGACUGUGUGAUGACGGUAGUUAUGCGAAUAAGCCCCGCUAAUUACC
Molecule: ribosomal RNA, 309 nt
Filed under: Treponema sp. oral taxon 255
Lineage: Bacteria; Pseudomonadati; Spirochaetota; Spirochaetia; Treponematales; Treponemataceae
Description: bacterial SSU rRNA
Rfam family: Bacterial small subunit ribosomal RNA
Source: RNAcentral